UGUAAGCGUAUACCAAAGUUGUUGCAGUUAAAACGCUCGUAGUCGGAAUUUGGCAGUUCCGGAUGUGUGCACGUCGUGUGCGCACUUCGCGGGGAUUGCUUUUGUGGUCUUGCGUAGGAUGAGGCACUUUUAUUAGUGAACGUCCUCACGCAACCACUUUUUACUGUGAGAAAAUCAGAGUGCUCAAAGCAGGCAUUUGCCGUGAAUGUAUUAGCAUGGAAUAAUAGAAUAGGACUUGGUUCUAUUUUGUUGGUUUGUUGGGACUGAGUAAUGAUUAAGAGGGACAGUUGGGGGCAUUUGUAUUUCGGUGCUAGAGGUGAAAUUCUUAGAUUACCGAAAGACAUACUGCUGCGAAAGCGUCUGCCAAGGAUGUUUUCAUUGA
RNAcentral lists this ribosomal RNA (382 nucleotides) under uncultured eukaryote. RNAcentral describes it as "partial 18S ribosomal RNA". It matches the Rfam family "Eukaryotic small subunit ribosomal RNA", at positions 592 to 976 of the family's 1831-position model. The record is from RNAcentral.